RNAcentral lists this ribosomal RNA (445 nucleotides) under uncultured bacterium. Its description in RNAcentral is "bacterial SSU rRNA". It matches the Rfam family "Bacterial small subunit ribosomal RNA", at positions 354 to 796 of the family's 1533-position model. The record is from RNAcentral.
GUGAGGAAUAUUGGUCAAUGGGCGGCAGCCUGAACCAGCCAUCCCGCGUGAAGGAAGAAAGCGCUAUGCGUUGUAAACUUCUUUUCCAGGGGGAUAAAAUCUCGGACGUGUUCGGGACUGAAGGUACCCUGGGAAUAAGCAUCGGCUAACUCCGUGCCAGCAGCCGCGGUAAUACGGAGGAUGCGAGCGUUAUCCGGAUUUAUUGGGUUUAAAGGGUGCGUAGGCGGGGCGAUAAGUCAGUGGUGAAAACCUGCAGCUUAACUGUAGACUUGCCGUUGAUACUGUUGUUCUUGAGUAUGGUCAAGGCAGGCGGAAUGUGUAAUGUAGCGGUGAAAUGCUUAGAUAUUACACAGAACACCGAUAGCGAAGGCAGCUUGCUGGGCCGUUACUGACGCUGAAGCACGAAAGCGUGGGGAUCGAACAGGAUUAGAUACCCCUGUAGUCC